UCUGAACUAUGAAGCAGGUGUCUGCACGGCUCUGGAGCCUGUGCUCGGCUUGCUUGCGGUAUAUCAGGCCUAGCAGCAGGAAGCUGGGGUCACUUGGGAGCUUAGAUGGACUUUGCGUACCACUGCCAGCUGGAUCAUCUCCUACCACAGAACUGUAAGAAACUGGUCUCUGCAGAGGGGAUGCUUCUCUGUACCUUAGCUCUUGCUGCAUAGUCCUCAAACUGGGCUUGUAAAGCCUGAAGGAUCCUUGCCUGAUUGCCAGCUUGUUUGGACUCCACAUGAUGGGUGAAAAGGUUACAGUCAAGAAGUGAUUUGUUAAUUGGUGCUGUCUCCUGGAACACAGGGAAUGGAGCCCUUGUUCUGUUAUCACAAUGCCUGAUGAUGGUGUUCCCUGUGAGUUCUUUGUCUAACAUACCAUAUGCGUGACCUAGGAGCAGAGCUGUGCAGUGAAGUGAACCCACCAAGACUUUAAAUAGUUUUGUCUUAAACUAUUAAGCAUCUGGAAACACUUUAUUGUUCCUCUGUCUUGCCUGAAUGGUGGUGUGUGAAACUUGGGAACUCAUUGAGAUAAAUAUGUAUUGCAGACAAGUUUUUUCCUCAUUAUAGAGCCAAAGAUGGCCAUCAGUUCCAGGCUUUCUGGGGAGAAGCAGGGUGUGUUAUAGGUAAUGAGAAUGGCUAAAAAAUCAUUGAAGAUUUGCCACGAAGAUCGCUACAGAGUGCCACUUUAUAUUCUGUGUAAAUUCCCUUUCUAGUGCCCUUUCCCAAAGUGCCACUGCUCCGUACUUGAGUCUGAGCUGGGUGUUGGCUGAAUGGAACUGAUGCAAUGACUGGAAUGUGGUUGGGGUGACAAACAUGUGGGGCUUGACCUGUCUCACUCAGCAUGUAAUUGCUGAGCAACUUCACCUGUGUUAAUAAAGUCAGUGAGUUUG
Aptenodytes forsteri (emperor penguin) is the source of this 929-nucleotide long non-coding RNA. RefSeq lists it as uncharacterized. The record is from RefSeq and is a predicted model, not a curated record. The transcript is spliced from 5 exons. Lineage: Eukaryota; Metazoa; Chordata; Aves; Sphenisciformes; Spheniscidae.